AUUGAACGCUGGCGGCAGGCCUAACACAUGCAUGUCGAACGGUAACAGGAAGAAGCUUGCUUCUUUGCUGACGAGUGGCGGACGGGUGAGUAAUGUCUGGGAAACUGCCUGAUGGAGGGGGAUAACUACUGGGAACGGUAGCUAAUACCGCAUAACGUCGCAAGACCAAAAAGGGGGACCUUCGGGCCUCUUGCCAUCGGAUGUGCCCAGAUGGGAUUAGCUAGUAGGUGGGGUAACGGCUCACCUAGGCGACGAUCCCUAGCUGGUCUGAGAGGAUGACCAGCCACACUGGAACUGAGACACGGUCCAGACUCCUACGGGAGGCAGCAGUGGGGAAUAUUGCACAAUGGGCGCAAGCCUGAUGCAGCCAUGCCGCGUGUAUGAAGAAGGCCUUCGGGUUGUAAAGUACUUUCAGCGGGGAGGAAGGGAGUAAAGUUAAUACCUUUGCUCAUUGACGUUACCCGCAGAAGAAGCACCGGCUAACUCCGUG
This 490-nucleotide ribosomal RNA is filed under the name uncultured bacterium. RNAcentral describes it as "partial 16S ribosomal RNA". It matches the Rfam family "Bacterial small subunit ribosomal RNA", at positions 30 to 507 of the family's 1533-position model. The record is from RNAcentral.